This 203-nucleotide ribosomal RNA is filed under the name uncultured bacterium. RNAcentral's name for it is "partial 16S ribosomal RNA". It matches the Rfam family "Bacterial small subunit ribosomal RNA", at positions 568 to 774 of the family's 1533-position model. The record is from RNAcentral.
UGCGUAGGCGGGUCUUUAAGUCAGGGGUGAAAUCCUGGAGCUCAACUCCAGAACUGCCUUUGAUACUGAAGAUCUUGAGUUCGGGAGAGGUGAGUGGAACUGCGAGUGUAGAGGUGAAAUUCGUAGAUAUUCGCAAGAACACCAGUGGCGAAGGCGGCUCACUGGCCCGAUACUGACGCUGAGGCAAGCGUGGGGAGCAAACA